Molecule: ribosomal RNA, 1426 nt
Filed under: uncultured organism
Description: 16S ribosomal RNA
Rfam family: Bacterial small subunit ribosomal RNA
Source: RNAcentral
CGCUGGCGGCGUGCUUAACACAUGCAAGUCGAACGGAAAGGCCCUGCUUUUGUGGGGUGCUCGAGUGGCGAACGGGUGAGUAACACGUGAGUAACCUGCCCUUGACUUUGGGAUAACUUCAGGAAACUGGGGCUAAUACCGGAUAGGAGCUCCUGCUGCAUGGUGGGGGUUGGAAAGUUUCGGCGGUUGGGGAUGGACUCGCGGCUUAUCAGCUUGUUGGUGGGGUAGUGGCUUACCAAGGCUUUGACGGGUAGCCGGCCUGAGAGGGUGACCGGCCACAUUGGGACUGAGAUACGGCCCAGACUCCUACGGGAGGCAGCAGUGGGGAAUAUUGCACAAUGGGCGGAAGCCUGAUGCAGCAACGCCGCGUGCGGGAUGACGGCCUUCGGGUUGUAAACCGCUUUCGCCUGUGACGAAGCGUGAGUGACGGUAAUGGGUAAAGAAGCACCGGCUAACUACGUGCCAGCAGCCGCGGUGAUACGUAGGGUGCGAGCGUUGUCCGGAUUUAUUGGGCGUAAAGGGCUCGUAGGUGGUUGAUCGCGUCGGAAGUGUAAUCUUGGGGCUUAACCCUGAGCGUGCUUUCGAUACGGGUUGACUUGAGGAAGGUAGGGGAGAAUGGAAUUCCUGGUGGAGCGGUGGAAUGCGCAGAUAUCAGGAGGAACACCAGUGGCGAAGGCGGUUCUCUGGGCCUUUCCUGACGCUGAGGAGCGAAAGCGUGGGGAGCGAACAGGCUUAGAUACCCUGGUAGUCCACGCUGUAAACGGUGGGUACUAGGUGUGGGGUCCAUUCCACGGGUUCCGUGCCGUAGCUAACGCUUUAAGUACCCCGCCUGGGGAGUACGGCCGCAAGGCUAAAACUCAAAGGAAUUGACGGGGCCCCGCACAAGCGGCGGAGCAUGCGGAUUAAUUCGAUGCAACGCGUAGAACCUUACCUGGGUUUGACAUGGAUCGGGAGUGCUCAGAGAUGGGUGUGCCUCUUUUGGGGUCGGUUCACAGGUGGUGCAUGUCUGUCGUCAGCUCGUGUCGUGAGAUGUUGGGUUAAGUCCCGCAACGAGCGCAACCCUUGUUCACUGUUGCCAGCCCGUUAUGGUGGGGACUCAGUGGAGACCGCCGGGGUCAACUCGGAGGAAGGUGGGGAUGACGUCAAGUCAUCAUGCCCUUUAUGUCCAGGGCUUCACUCAUGCUACAAUGGCUGGUACAGAGAGUGGCGAGCCUGUGAGGGUGAGCGAAUUUCGGAAACCCGGUUUCAGUUCGGAUUGGGGUCUGCAACUCGACCUCAUGAAGUCGGAGUCGCUAGUAAUCGCAGAUCAGCAACGCUGCGGUGAAUACGUUCCCGGGGCUUGUACACACCUCCCGUCAAGUCAUGAAAGUUGGUAACUCCGGAAGCCGGUGGCCUAACCGUUGUGGGGGAGCCGUUGAAGGUGGGA